AGAGUUUGAUCCUGGCUCAGGACGAACGCUGGCGGCGUGCUUAACACAUGCAAGUCGAACGGAAAGGUCUCUUCGGAGAUACUCGAGUGGCGAACGGGUGAGUAACACGUGGGUGAUCUGCCCUGCACUUUGGGAUAAGCCUGGGAAACUGGGUCUAAUACCGGAUAGGACCGCGCCAUGCAUGUGGUGUGGUGGAAAGCUAUUUGCGGUGUGGGAUGGGCCCGCGGCCUAUCAGCUUGUUGGUGGGGUGAUGGCCUACCAAGGCGACGACGGGUAGCCGGCCUGAGAGGGUGUCCGGCCACACUGGGACUGAGAUACGGCCCAGACUCCUACGGGAGGCAGCAGUGGGGAAUAUUGCACAAUGGGCGCAAGCCUGAUGCAGCGACGCCGCGUGGGGGAUGACGGCCUUCGGGUUGUAAACCUCUUUCACCAUC
RNAcentral lists this ribosomal RNA (434 nucleotides) under uncultured bacterium. Its description in RNAcentral is "bacterial SSU rRNA". It matches the Rfam family "Bacterial small subunit ribosomal RNA", at positions 8 to 443 of the family's 1533-position model. The record is from RNAcentral.